GAUGAACGCUAGCGGGAGGCCUAAUACAUGCAAGUCGAGCGGUAGAGUGACUUCGGUUGCUUGAGAGCGGCGAACGGGUGAGUAACGCGUACACAAUCUACCUUUAAGAGGGGAAUAGCCCUGGGAAACUGGGAUUAAUGCCCCAUGGCAUCACGAGACGGCAUCGUUUUGUGAUUAAAGCUGAGGUGCUUAGAGAUGAGUGUGCGUCUGAUUAGCUAGUUGGUGCGGUAACGGCGCACCAAGGCGACGAUCAGUAGGGGGCGUGAGAGCGUGGACCCCCACACGGGUACUGAGACACGGACCCGACUCCUACGGGAGGCAGCAGUAAGGAAUAUUGGUCAAUGGAGGAGACUCUGAACCAGCCAUCCCGCGUGCAGGAAGAAUGCCCUAUGGGUUGUAAACUGCUUUUAUCUGGGAAGAAAAGUCGGGAUUUAUCCUGAUCUGACGGUACCAGAGGAAUAAGCACCGGCUAACUCCGUGCCAGCAGCCG
This 490-nucleotide ribosomal RNA is filed under the name uncultured bacterium. RNAcentral describes it as "bacterial SSU rRNA". It matches the Rfam family "Bacterial small subunit ribosomal RNA", at positions 28 to 517 of the family's 1533-position model. The record is from RNAcentral.